GAUCCUGGCUCAGGAUGAACGCUAGCUACAGGCUUAACACACGCAAGUCGAGGGGCGAGCAUGGUCUUAGCUUGCUAAGGCCGAUGGCGACCGGCGCACGGGUGAGUAACACGUAUCCAACCUGCCGUCUACUCUUGGACAGCCUUCUGAAAGGAAGAUUAAUACAAGAUGGCAUCAUGAGUCCGCAUGUUCACAUGAUUAAAGGUAUUCCGGUAGACGAUGGGGAUGCG
This 230-nucleotide ribosomal RNA is filed under the name uncultured bacterium. RNAcentral's name for it is "partial 16S ribosomal RNA". It matches the Rfam family "Bacterial small subunit ribosomal RNA", at positions 15 to 235 of the family's 1533-position model. The record is from RNAcentral.